RNAcentral lists this long non-coding RNA (543 nucleotides) under Pan troglodytes (chimpanzee). RNAcentral describes it as "long non-coding RNA NONPTRT012591". The record is from RNAcentral. Lineage: Eukaryota; Metazoa; Chordata; Mammalia; Primates; Hominidae.
UGAUCUAGAGGUGGAUAAAAGAUCCACAUAACUUAAUUACAUUGUUGAAGGAGAGGAACAAGAGUGAUAGCAGAGAAGGUUUCACAGAUAUAAUCUUAAGCUAAAUUUUAUAGAAUGAUUUGGAGUUCUUAUAGCCUCCAUUCCCACUUCCACAAACAAACAAAAAAACGAAAGCGCAAUUUUAUCAGCACCUGAGGCAGGAGAAGAGCUGAGGAUGUGGAAAGUCAAGGGGAACUCUUACUACAAAUUCUUAGUUCUGUGUUUGGAGGGAAGGGUGAAUGCAGGGAAGUGAGAGUUGUUGAUGUUGGAAAGACCUAAAGGGCCUGGCUUAGGAAGAGUUUUGUGUAAAUUACUGAAGGAAUGGAAUUUGAUCAGGAUUAGUGGCAAUUUAUUAAAAAUCUUGAAGAAUAAUACGAUGAAAACUAACAUCCUUAUUUUUCUGUUUUAGAGAAAGCACCUGAUUAUUGUGUGAACUAUGGUUUGGAGGGCCACAAAUCUAGAGAGACAAACAUCUCCACUUCAAAAUGGAAAAAUGGAACGAUG